AUUGAACGCUGGCGGCAGGCCUAACACAUGCAAGUCGAGCGGAUGAAGGGAGCUUGCUCCUGGAUUCAGCGGCGGACGGGUGAGUAAUGCCUAGGAAUCUGCCUGGUAGUGGGGUAUAACGUCCGGAAACGGGCGCUAAUACCGCAUACGUCCUUAGGGAGAAAGUGGGGGAUCUUCGGACCUCACGCUAUCAGAUGAGCCUAGGUCGGAUUAGCUAGUUGGUGGGGUAAAGGCCUACCAAGGCGACGAUCCGUAACUGGUCUGAGAGGAUGAUCAGUCACACUGGAACUGAGACACGGUCCAGACUCCUACGGGAGGCAGCAGUGGGGAAUAUUGGACAAUGGGCGAAAGCCUGAUCCAGCCAUGCCGCGUGUGUGAAGAAGGUCUUCGGAUUGUAAAGCACUUUAAGUUGGGAGGAAGGGCAGUAAGUUAAUACCUUGCUGUUUUGACGUUACCAACAGAAUAAGCACCGGCUAACUUCGUG
Molecule: ribosomal RNA, 484 nt
Filed under: uncultured bacterium
Lineage: Bacteria
Description: partial 16S ribosomal RNA
Rfam family: Bacterial small subunit ribosomal RNA
Source: RNAcentral